Anthonomus grandis grandis is the source of this 1412-nucleotide long non-coding RNA. RefSeq lists it as uncharacterized. The record is from RefSeq and is a predicted model, not a curated record. The transcript has 4 exons. Lineage: Eukaryota; Metazoa; Arthropoda; Insecta; Coleoptera; Curculionidae.
UCUGUUUUCUUUUUUUGGCACAAUUACAUGGGAAAAACAACACGUCAUAACCCUAUUAAAUAUCCUUCAUUUCAGCUCUCAGCACGUCAACCUUUGAUGCGUCACAUAACCUGAAAAUAGUUCCUUAAAUUAUAUAUAUCUAUAGAGGAAAGUGUUUGUGCGGGCUUAUGGAGACCGUGGGUGUACAAGAAAGACAAUAACAUUUGUGAUAAAAACAAUAAGAGUUAUCUGGGCAGUGAUUUAGACUUACAUAGUUCUGAUAGUUCAUUUUCUAGUAUUGAGGAAGCAAAAAGAAGCAAGGGAAGUAGAAGCUACAGAAGAAAUCAAGCAGUUUUAAAAGAACAAAUUUAUCUAAAUAUCUAUAACAAUCUAAGGAAUGAUACUCAGUUCACAAAUGAUUGUAGUGCUUUGCAAAAAAUAGCGUUUUUAACAGAAGUUCCCUAUAGUAAAAUAUGCCUGUAAAAAAAAGGAUUAAAGACAGAAUAAAAAGGAAAGAUGCAGGACAAUCAAAGGGACUUGACAUGGAUAUUGCCAAAUUGCUAAGGAAAGGUGUGUAUUCUAAAUACAAAAACAAUGAGGUUCUGACCAUAGAGACACCUUAUCGGCAAGGGACAAACAUUUCUCAGUCUCAACCCUUGCAGAGAUACCUGAUAAAACUUGGAUUUAAGCUUAAGAUGGUUAACAAAAGAGCUGCUGUAAUGGAGCUCAGUGGGUCAGGUGGUGUAUAGAAUAUUUGAGGAAAAUUAAAAAAAUUUGGGAGGAAGAAAGAUCCAUAUAUUAUUUAGCCGAAACAUGAUAUGAUACAUUUAUGAUUGAUGUAUGAUUUCCAUUCUCUGGGAAAAAAGUCCCUUUUUUGCCAUACUUACUGGCCCUGUUGUCCUUCAGUGAUACAAUAAAGACUGCUUCUUCCACCAUUCUCUGGGAAAAACCCUUUUUUGCUAUGCUUACUGCCCCUGUUGUCCUUCAGCAACACAAUGAAGACUGCUUCUUCCUCCAUUCUCUGGAAAAAAGUCCCUUUUUUGCCAUACUUACUGCCCCUGUUUGUCCUUCAGCGACCCAAUAAAGUAUAUAUAAUGUAAUGCUUUAGAAUCCAUAUGCUGAUGUGCGAAAUGAAGUUGGAAUCCAUGGCGGCAACAGAGAAACUGUUUCCUUUCUUAAUGGAAGAAACUUCUAAAGAACAAUGGCAAAAAAACAGAAUUUACAAAAUUUGUAUUAACUUUUUGGGCCAGAUUCAAAAGAGUGGUUAAAUUUAUAAAAGUAUUUAGUAUCCUCACUGUAGUUUUAGGAUCCAGUAUACUUAAAAUGUAGUGUUUUGUAUAAGAUUUUUAGUUUUUAGUAUAAGCAUUUAUUUUUGUUAAUUUUUAUCUAAUCUCUCCUAAUAUGCAUAAUAACUAAAUACGAGGCAAACAAAU